Mytilus californianus (California mussel) is the source of this 811-nucleotide long non-coding RNA. RefSeq lists it as uncharacterized. NCBI's taxonomy places the organism in Eukaryota, Metazoa, Mollusca, Bivalvia, Mytilida, Mytilidae. The transcript has 2 exons. The record is from RefSeq and is a predicted model, not a curated record.
GUGACAUUUUUCUAUGAACAAUAUUUUUAAUUCUAAUAUUUUCCAUCAAAUGAAUUUAGCCUCACCUGCAGGUUGCAUUUUGUUUAAUUUCUAGUAUCAUUAUUUUAAAACUAUGUAUACACAAAUUAUCUUUCUCAUCUCAAUUAGUAAUAUGAGCUGGUGAUAGAAAUGUAAUGUGCCAUCUGGUUUCAAUUUAUCUCUGUGUAGUGGUAAAGACAGGAAGUACCAUAAAUUAAUGUACACAGAGUUUGAGGCCAAAUUAAGGGUAGAGCAUUUCUUCUUUGUAUUUAUUUCCAUUAUAACUUAUAACAUCAAAGAUAAAAAAAAAUAUAUAUAUAUAAUUAUUUUUUUAUUAUAAUAUAUAACAAAUAUUCAAGAUUUAGGCAAUUGAUAUUUAUAAUUAGGGGCAAAUUUCAAAGGGAUCACACUGUCACAAUACCCUAAGCAACCUUGAUCAACAUAUUCAAAAUUUGAACUGGAUAUGAACAUGCAAUACAACAAACAAAGAUGUCUUCUAUCAUGAACAAAGUAAUAUGAAUUUUACAAUGGAUUUAGAUCCAAAAGUUCCAAUUAAUUCUAUUGACACUGGAUAGUGCAUAUGAUAGCCUUCAGUUGACAUGACUCUUGGAUUUAGGAAGAUUGGUGUUUACACAUAAUUUGGAUAACAUCUUUUGUAUUUGAAAUCAGAAAAUUCAACUUUAAGGACAGUGAGUACAGAGAAACAGAACUAAAGGAUACACAGAUAUGUAACACAACAACCUACAGAGGACAGAGAAAAUUUUGUUUUAUUAUUAAAUCAUACUUUUUUAAA